This 547-nucleotide unclassified non-coding RNA is filed under the name uncultured fungus. Its description in RNAcentral is "partial contains 5.8S ribosomal RNA, internal transcribed spacer 2, and large subunit ribosomal RNA". Lineage: Eukaryota; Fungi. The record is from RNAcentral.
AACGCACAUAGCGCCCCCUGGUAUUCCGGGGGGCAUGCCUGUUCGAGCGUCAUUACACCGCUCAAGCCUCGCUUGGUAUUGGGCGCCGCGCUUCGGCGCGCGCCUCAAUGUAUCCGGCUGAGUCGACCGUCUCUAAGCGUUGUGGCACUUUAUGUUUCCGCUUGUGAGCUCGGGAGGUCUCGCGCCGUUAAACACCCCAUCAAAGGUUGACCUCGGAUCAGGUAGGGAUACCCGCUGAACUUAAGCAUAUCAAUAAGCGGAGGAGACAGUCGUGCAGCUAUACGUGUGAAUCAUCGAAUCUUUGAACGCACAUUGCGCCCCUGGUAUUCCGGGGGGCAUGCCUGUUCGAGCGUCAUUACACCACUCAAGCCUCGCUUGGUAUUGGGCGCCGCGCUUCGGCGCGCGCCUCAAUGUAUCCGGCUGAGUCGACCGUCUCUAAGCGUUGUGGCACUUUAUGUUUCCGCUUGUGAGCUCGGGAGGUCUCGCGCCGUUAAACACCCCAUCAAAGGUUGACCUCGGAUCAGGUAGGGAUACCCGCUGAACUUAA